RNAcentral lists this ribosomal RNA (675 nucleotides) under uncultured beta proteobacterium. Its description in RNAcentral is "bacterial SSU rRNA". It matches the Rfam family "Bacterial small subunit ribosomal RNA", at positions 76 to 746 of the family's 1533-position model. Lineage: Bacteria; Pseudomonadati; Pseudomonadota; Betaproteobacteria. The record is from RNAcentral.
GUGCUUGCACCUGGUGGCGAGUGGCGAACGGGUGAGUAAUACAUCGGAACAUGUCCUGUAGUGGGGGAUAGCCCGGCGAAAGCCGGAUUAAUACCGCAUACGAUCUACGGAUGAAAGCGGGGGACCUUCGGGCCUCGCGCUAUAGGGUUGGCCGAUGGCUGAUUAGCUAGUUGGUGGGGUAAAGGCCUACCAAGGCGACGAUCAGUAGCUGGUCUGAGAGGACGACCAGCCACACUGGGACUGAGACACGGCCCAGACUCCUACGGGAGGCAGCAGUGGGGAAUUUUGGACAAUGGGCGAAAGCCUGAUCCAGCAAUGCCGCGUGUGUGAAGAAGGCCUUCGGGUUGUAAAGCACUUUUGUCCGGAAAGAAAUCCUUGGUUCUAAUAUAGCCGGGGGAUGACGGUACCGGAAGAAUAAGCACCGGCUAACUACGUGCCAGCAGCCGCGGUAAUACGUAGGGUGCGAGCGUUAAUCGGAAUUACUGGGCGUAAAGCGUGCGCAGGCGGUUUGCUAAGACCGAUGUGAAAUCCCCGGGCUCAACCUGGGAACUGCAUUGGUGACUGGCAGGCUAGAGUAUGGCAGAGGGGGGUAGAAUUCCACGUGUAGCAGUGAAAUGCGUAGAGAUGUGGAGGAAUACCGAUGGCGAAGGCAGCCCCCUGGGCCAAUACUGACGC